RNAcentral lists this unclassified non-coding RNA (422 nucleotides) under Schizosaccharomyces pombe (fission yeast). Lineage: Eukaryota; Fungi; Ascomycota; Schizosaccharomycetes; Schizosaccharomycetales; Schizosaccharomycetaceae. The record is from RNAcentral.
GAAGACUUUACCAAGUCUAAUAGCUUUGCUUCCUCUUCAUUCGUCCAUAAUUUGCGCCGAUCAAUUGUUUCCUGAGUACUAGUACCUACAACAAACCUCCAUUGACUCAUGCACGCGGCAGGUGACGUUCCCAGUUUGUUCGCUAUGCUGUUCCACCGCGUUCCCUCUUGUUCAACUAGGGUGUACAGCUUUUUUAGCUCACUUUCCUCCCAUGCAUUCCUAUCUUUCGGAUCCAACGGCUUGUAGAUUUCCUUCAAAUAACGAAUAAUUCCUUUUCUUGAAAUAGAAGUAGGCAGCAAUUCGCGUAGUUCGUUGUAUAGAAAGUUGAUAUUUGUAUGUCUUAAGCUUGAAGAACUCAUCCGGAAGCCAAACUCUUGUAAAUCUACGCCUUCAUUAUUACAAUAAGACAAAACUACUUUUUG